Molecule: long non-coding RNA, 3995 nt
Organism: Lynx canadensis (Canada lynx)
Lineage: Eukaryota; Metazoa; Chordata; Mammalia; Carnivora; Felidae
Exons: 2
Source: RefSeq, a predicted model, not a curated record
ACCGGGCUUGGGCAGGGCCGUGGGCAUCCGUCCCCUGGUGGCCCUUUUCCAGGGCCUCCACGGACCCAGUUCUACUUUGAGCCCUGCCCCUCCCCCACCUGACAUGUGAGUAUCCUCAAGUCAGAAGCCUCCCAGCCCCCUCCUCUCAUCCCUAGAAAGCAGUGCGUGUACUUCCUUCAGGGAGACUUUGAUCUCUCCUGCUCCAAGCCCUCCCACGCAUUGAUCUUGGCCCAGCAGCACCCGUCAUUGUCCCCAGGGAACCCAAGCUUAGAUACAGCCAUGAACAGGGCAGCAGGGAGAGCAGGAGCCGGGGGUGGGUGUGGGAGGGAGGGAAGGACAGCUGUGUCGCAGGCUCUGUUCUGCCCCGUUGGCUUGAAUUCAUGCCUGUUUCCAGAAACACGGUGGAGCACUCUGUACCAUGGAGGUCGGCAAGCCCCAGAGCCAAGAGUCUCCAAAGUAUGAGAUGGCUCGGGCUCCCGAGAAGCUGGCUUCUGAGUCACCCAGGGGCAGUGGGCAGACGGGCUGGCUGGGCGGCGCUGGGCCAUGCUUCGCUCAGGGACCAGGCCAUCGUGGCCCUGCCUCCCGAAACACACACCGGUUCCAAGGUUGCCAUGGUAAUCUUUCCGGCCAGCCAGGAGAGGGAAAGGAGUGUGGUGGAGAGUCACCGAGGGGUUUGGGAACAGAGACCUUCCACUCAGGGUGCCACGCCCAGAGCACUGAGCCGCACAGAGAUAGUGAGGAGUAUUCUGUCAUCGCAGGGGGCCUCGGGGCCAUCAGGGGGCCCUUCAGGGCACGUGGACAGGACAGAGCCCCCAGCGCUGAGGAGACUUUCCUGGGGGCAGGCGGUGACUGAAGUGUUAAUACCCUCGAUCAGCAAGAAGUAGAAGUGAGAUCUGAACUUGACUCUACUCUUCCCGCAACUUGGAAGACGAGUGCCCCGGGGGACACUCAGCUGCUCUCUGUGGCUCGGCCUGCCCUUGUGUCACAGGCGGAGCAGAGGAAGCAGCAUCUGCACAGGUGCGGUUGGGGCUGGGGGACGGUCAGGGCAAACUGCCAACCCCUUUCAUUUAUUUUCCUCCGGAGCCCCCAGGUCAAGGAGAGACAGGCAGGGUCAUGCCCUGCAGUCCCCUUUCUUGGGUAAGCGAACGUGGUAGGACCGCACAGCACCCAGGGCGUCCUGUGCCGAUGCAGGCAGAGAACCUGGCAGCGAGGGAUCCAGGGGUGCAGGAAGGAGGGAGGAGGGUCAGCUCUGAGCCAGACGGGGUGAGCCCGGGCCCAUCUUGCCUCCUCCUCUCUGAAGCCUCGGGCAGGUGACUUUCCAAGCCACGUUUCCUUAUCUGUCUUAUGGAGAUAAUGACGGGAGCCGUCCCUGAGAUAUUUGAGGAGCAAGCCAGAUUACGCGCAGAAGGGAGCUGGAAAUGGUGGCAUUCCUUAUGCAAUUAUUCUCCACUGCAGCAUCAGGAGCGUGUAGCACUUGACUUGCCGUCAGGGUCAGACCAAUUAGAAGAUGUACCACCUGCACUUGGGUUUGUUCAGAAACAGCGGCUUGUCUACCCCGGAGCGGUUAUAAUUUGAACCCUGCGUGGGUGUUUCUGUUUUACUGUCUAAGUAACCCAUCCACCCGUGGCUACAAGGAAGCAGAAAGAGACAAUAAUUUCAAAGUGCCUGCACGUCGAGAAGGAGCGCUGGGAAAAUGUCGGAAACUCCCUACACCUGCUCCUUCUCUCUGGACCCCGGAAUCCAGGCUGGAAGGAGAUCUCCCUCCAGCAGGCAAUGGAAGAGGCAUUUUAAAAAUACUAAUUUUUUUAUAAGUGAGUCUUAAUUAUUUUGGUAUGGUUUUAGAUUUACAGAGUAAUUGAGCAGAUAGGACACAGAGUUCCAUGGACCCACCCCACUCCCGCGCAGUUUCCCCUGUUGUUAAUAUCGUGCACAUUUGUCACGAUUGAUAACCAUACCAACACCCUAUUAUUCACCGGAGUCUGUAGUUUAUAUUAAGAUUCACUCUCCCGGCUGCGCAGGCUCUGUGUUCGACGAAUGUACAAAGUCGUGUAUCCACCACAGAACAGCUUUAUCCCCCAAAUUCCCCUGUGUCAACGAGUCCUGUCUGAGAGCUGCGCACACGGCGAGGGGCCAGCCGUGUGACUCACGCUGACCGAGGAGGGAUGGGCUCCCAGAGAGAGCCAGUCACGUGCCUCCAGGGAAAGGAAGGGGCCGGCAUUCCUGCGUCUCAGUGACCUGGACUGGAUGCUUCCUCUCCAGAGUUAAUUCUGACGUGUGUCCCUUCUUCCCCCACCUCUGCACAGCGUUCUCCGUGAAGCGUCCCUGUGGGCAGCCUGGGCUGUGCGUAUGGCAGGAUUGAACCUGCCCCACCAUCAGGUCUUCUGAACUGACUCCUGGCCACUUCCGGUCAUCCCUCCAUGGGCAGGAUUCUGGGAUGCCACCCACACUUUGUGCCCUGGACCCUCAGAAUCUCCUUGUUCUGUCCUCUGGCUCCCCUCCAAGUCCUCAGGCUCAGGGGCUGCUUUUCCUCCAAAACCGCCCGUUGCUGGAGCAGGCCUAAUGUCCACAGAGCCUCCACGGGUGCAGAAAAGUGCACUGGGGGAAGCAGAGCAUGGUGGGAGAAUGCCCCAAGGGUCCAGCAGCCAGGGCAUGCUCUCCCCUGCCCCACAGUCUCCGCAGCCCAGGCAUGCUGUUCCAGAAACUUCCUAACCUCCUGGGCAGCGGGGACAAGUGGAACCAAGCACUGAUGGGUGACCAGAAGCGCACAAGACCUGUCAGCCUCCCUGUUUGAAUGUCCUCCUGCCCCGUGGGUGUCAUGUGGGCUCUCGUGAGCCCAUGGCUGUGCCUUGCCCUCUUUGCCCUUGAGGACACGGGCUCGUGGUCAUUGUGACCAUCGUCUCUCUAGAAACAGGCUGAGGCUGGUGAGCUAACUCUGGAGAAGCCAACACUGUGAAUCGAUCCCUGGGCUGCCCGCCUACCUCAGAACUUUCUAUUCCUUUCCAUGUGGGUGCAGCAGUUUCCCAGGGACCAUUGUUGCAGUGGACUGAGAUUUAUUUCUAAUAAUUGUCCUCGCUUUAUUCAACACGGACUGCUGGCUCCUUUCUCAUCAGACACAUGUGUCUGUGCAUGGUACCCCACAGGUACCCCAUGCAAAUACAGAUACGCUAUCUUUGGACUUGUCGUCCCUCUUCCCUCACUCUGCUUGAGGUGGUGGUGUUUGACAUCACCGGGCCAAGGGCCCCCCCCCGCCCCGCCACCGCAUGUGGUUGGCUCUCCGGAGAGCAGUGGAGGCAGGAAACCAUUGAGUGCUGGGUUCUUAGUGGGAAGCAUCGCCAUUACCAUCAACUUGGAACAGCUUGAGGAGCGAUCUGAUGUCCGUUCACAAUCCAUGUUUGUGUGUGCAGAGGGGCUGAACUAGCUGGAGAAGGGAGCGCGUCAUACUGAAGAUGACAGAGAUGUAAGAAUAAGGCUUUGAGGCAAUAACCCUGUAAGCCACGGUUUACCAGAUGGCAAGGACUGAUACUCAAUUCACUACCCUUGAGGUAUGGAUUCAUAUCUGAUGUCUACUGGACAGAUGUCCCCAACCAGCAGGGAACCAGAUGAGAAGUCAGAGUGUGCAUACAGAGGAGAAUGCUCUCUCUCUCUCUCUCUCUCUCACACACACACACACACGCUAUAACAUGGGUGAAUCUUGUUAAUAUUACACCCAGUGAGAGACGACAUACUAUAUGAUCUCCUUGAUGUGAAACGUCCAGUAAAGGCAUAUCUGUAGAGCCACAAGUAGGUCGCUGGUUGCCUGGGGCUGGGGGCCGGAACGGGGAUUAGCUAUAAAUGUGCAUGAGGGCUCUUGCUGGGGUGAUGGAGACGUUCUAAAACUGGAUCGUGAUGAUGUUUGCACAACGUGGCAAAAUUUGCUAAAAAUUAUUGAAGUGUCUGCUUAAAAUGCUUGAAUUUUAUGGUGUGUUGUUUAUGCCUCAAUAAAGUUGUUUUUUAAA